CAGAACGUAGCUGCUUUGAAUUUGCAUGGUCAUAUGACAGCAUGUUGUAAUUGCAGGAAGAAAACACUAUUUUAGUUCCCUCGUAUCUCCUGCUCCUCCAUCAUCUGUACUUGGACCUCUCUUUGUCUUUUGAUUUCUUAGGACUUCUACUUCUGUCUCUCUUUUUAUCCCAGUCUCUUAUUCGGACAUCUUCUCUGUAUUUGUCUUUAUGUUUGCUGUAACUUCUCUCUUGAGAUCGGCUGCGACUCCGAUGCCUGUCUUUCUUCUCACUCUUCAUCUUCUCUCUACAGCGUUCUCCUUCAUGUUUUCGAUCGGAAUCCUUGUAUUUUUUGGUCCUCUUGUCAUCCUCUUCGUCUUCAGAGUGGUAGUGCUUCUUCUUCUUCUGUUUUUUAGCCACAUGUGACUGACUUGUUUGAGAUUCUUCUUCUUCCUCAUCUAGCACAAGGUCAUACUUGGCAUCCUGCUUUGGUUUCACCUUCUCUUUGAGAGCAAAUUUUGAAGGUUUAUCACGUUCCUUUUCAUAGUCUUUGAAAUCAUCCUUGGUGUACUGCCCACCUUUUCCUUUCCACUUAAUCUUUGCAACAGACUGGCUAAAAUCCACAUGUAUCCGCCUGUCAUCUAUCAGCACGUUGUCCAUUUUGAAAUAGGCUUUCUCACAGUCUUCCUCCUUUUCAAACUCGAUGAAAGCAUAACACAGAGAUUCACCAGUCUUCCAGUCUCGAAUGACUUCACAGCUUUUAAUUGGACCAAACCGUGAAAAUAUUAUCUCUAGGUCUUCAUCUGUGGUCACGGGAUUCAGUUUACAAACAAACAGCACAUUUUCUGGUGGCUUGACUUCUGCAUCUGGUAAGUCUCCCACCAUUUCCAGAAGAAUGGCACGAGUUUUUGCCUCUUUUUCUGCCUGAACUUCUUCUAUUUCAUCUGCAGACCGUCCUUUCAUGUCAUCAAUUUCUUCAUCAGCUCCUAUUCUUCCACUAUCUAGCUGUUCCUUAGUAGGCUCUGGUGAGCGAUCAGGAAUAGGCAAGCCAGGUGGAUCAUCAAAUGGAUCAUCCAGAAUUACUGUAUGAUUGAUCCUGAUAUCCUGAUACGGGAUAAAAUCCUUAUCCACAAAGGUUUCAUUAAUUGUCUUCAGUACAUCCAUGCCUUCAGUCACUUCCCCAAACACUGUAUGCACACCAUCCAGAUAAUCCAAGUUUUCUCCUGUUGUAAUAAGAAACUGUGAUCCAUGCAGGUCGCUGCCGUUGUUCACCAUUGACACCGUUCCCUUUUUCUUGUGCUUAAUUCUAGGCACUUUUUCGGCCUCAAAAAAUCUAGCUUGAUCACCAUACAGCUUAC
Molecule: long non-coding RNA, 1335 nt
Filed under: Gallus gallus (chicken)
Lineage: Eukaryota; Metazoa; Chordata; Aves; Galliformes; Phasianidae
Source: RNAcentral